This 251-nucleotide ribosomal RNA is filed under the name uncultured prokaryote. RNAcentral describes it as "partial 16S rRNA". It matches the Rfam family "Bacterial small subunit ribosomal RNA", at positions 525 to 775 of the family's 1533-position model. The record is from RNAcentral.
ACGUAGGAGACGAGCGUUAUUCGGAUUUACUGGGCGUAAAGCGCGUGCAGGCGGUUUGGUAAGUUGGAUGUGAAAGCUUUCGGCUCAACUGGGAGAGGGCGUUGAAAACUGCCAGACUAGAGAAUAGGAGAGGGAGGUGGAAUUCCGGGUGUAGCGGUGAAAUGCGUAGAUAUUCGGAGGAACACCAGUGGCGAAGGCGACCAACUGGUCUAUUACUGACGCUCAGACGCGAAAGCUAGGGUAGCAAACGG